RNAcentral lists this ribosomal RNA (253 nucleotides) under uncultured bacterium. Its description in RNAcentral is "partial 16S ribosomal RNA". It matches the Rfam family "Bacterial small subunit ribosomal RNA", at positions 524 to 776 of the family's 1533-position model. The record is from RNAcentral.
UACGUAGGGGGCUAGCGUUGUCCGGAUUUAUUGGGCGUAAAGAGCGUGUAGGCGGCCAGGUAGGUCUGCUGUGAAAACUCGAGGCUCAACCUCGAGACGUCGGCGGAAACCAUCUGGCUAGAGUCCGGAAGAGGAGAGUGGAAUUCCUGGUGUAGCGGUGAAAUGCGCAGAUAUCAGGAAGAACACCCGUGGCGAAGGCGGCUCUCUGGGACGGUACUGACGCUGAGACGCGAGAGCGUGGGGAGCGAACAGG